Molecule: ribosomal RNA, 254 nt
Filed under: uncultured bacterium
Lineage: Bacteria
Description: partial 16S ribosomal RNA
Rfam family: Bacterial small subunit ribosomal RNA
Source: RNAcentral
UACAGAGGGUGCAAGCGUUAAUCGGAAUUACUGGGCGUAAAGGGCGCGUAGGCGGCCACCGCAAGUCGACUGUGAAAUCUCCGGGCUUAACCCGGAAAGGUCAGCCGAUACUGCGGGGCUAGAGUGCAGAAGGGGCAACUGGAAUUCUCGGUGUAGCGGUGAAAUGCGUAGAUAUCGAGAGGAACACCUGCGGCGAAGGCGGGUUGCUGGGCUGACACUGACGCUGAGGCGCGAAAGCUAGGGGAGCGAACGGG